AGAGUUUGAUCCUGGCUCAGGAUGAACGCUGGCGGCGUGCUUAACACAUGCAAGUCGAACGAAGCACCUUAUUCUGAUUUCUUCGGAAUGAAAAAUUUGGUGACUGAGUGGCGGACGGGUGAGUAACGCGUGGGUAACCUGCCUCAUACAGGGGGAUAACAGUUAGAAAUGACUGCUAAUACCGCAUAAGACCACAGCACCGCAUGGUGCAGGGGUAAAAACUCCGGUGGUAUGAGAUGGACCCGCGUCUGAUUAGGUAGUUGGUGGGGUAACGGCCUACCAAGCCGACGAUCAGUAGCCGACCUGAGAGGGUGACCGGCCACAUUGGGACUGAGACACGGCCCAAACUCCUACGGGAGGCAGCAGUGGGGAAUAUUGCACAAUGGGGGAAACCCUGAUGCAGCGACGCCGCGUGAGCGAUGAAGUAUUUCGGUAUGUAAAGCUCUAUCAGCAGGGAAGAAAAUGACGGUACCUGACUAAGAAGCACCGGCUAAAUACGUGCCAGCAGCCGCGGUAAUACGUAUGGUGCAAGCGUUAUCCGGAUUUACUGGGUGUAAAGGGAGCGUAGACGGAGUGGCAAGUCUGAUGUGAAAACCCGGGGCUCAACCCCGGGACUGCAUUGGAAACUGUCAAUCUAGAGUACCGGAGAGGUAAGCGGAAUUCCUAGUGUAGCGGUGAAAUGCGUAGAUAUUAGGAGGAACACCAGUGGCGAAGGCGGCUUACUGGACGGUAACUGACGUUGAGGCUCGAAAGCGUGGGGAGCAAACAGGAUUAGAUACCCUGGUAGUCCACGCCGUAAACG
RNAcentral lists this ribosomal RNA (802 nucleotides) under uncultured bacterium. RNAcentral's name for it is "bacterial SSU rRNA". It matches the Rfam family "Bacterial small subunit ribosomal RNA", at positions 8 to 808 of the family's 1533-position model. The record is from RNAcentral.